GGGCCGGUAGCUCAGUUGGUAGAGCAGCAGACUUUUAAUCUGCGGGUCACUGGUUCGAGCCCAGUCCGGCUCACCA
RNAcentral lists this transfer RNA (76 nucleotides) under Zetaproteobacteria bacterium CG2_30_59_37. RNAcentral describes it as "tRNA-Lys". It matches the Rfam family "tRNA". From Rfam's summary of the family: Transfer RNA (tRNA) molecules are approximately 80 nucleotides in length. Their secondary structure includes four short double-helical elements and three loops (D, anti-codon, and T loops). RNAcentral also lists the same sequence under 8 other names. Lineage: Bacteria; Pseudomonadati; Pseudomonadota; Candidatius Mariprofundia. The record is from RNAcentral.